RNAcentral lists this ribosomal RNA (250 nucleotides) under uncultured bacterium. Its description in RNAcentral is "partial 16S ribosomal RNA". It matches the Rfam family "Bacterial small subunit ribosomal RNA", at positions 524 to 773 of the family's 1533-position model. The record is from RNAcentral.
UACGGAGGGUGCAAACGUUGCUCGGAAUCACUGGGCGUAAAGCGCACGUAGGCGGCGCGAUAAGUCGGAUGUGAAAGCCCUGGGCUCAACCUAGGAAGUGCAUUCGAAACUGACGCGCUUGAGUACGGGAGAGGGUUGCGGAAUUCCCGGUGUAGAGGUGAAAUUCGUAGAUAUCGGGAGGAACACCAGCGGCGAAGGCGACCACCUGGACGGAUACUGACGCUGAGACGCGAAAGCGUGGGGAGCAAAC